UACGGAGGGUGCAAGCGUUGCUCGGAAUUAUUGGGCGUAAAGGGUAGGUAGGUGGUCUCAUUUGUCUGAGGUGAAAGCCCAGGGCUUAACCCUGGAAUUGCCUUCGAUACUGAGAGUCUUGAGUUCGGAAGAGGUUGGUGGAACUGCGAGUGUAGAGGUGAAAUUCGUAGAUAUUCGCAAGAACACCAGUGGCGAAGGCGGCCAACUGGUCCGAUACUGACGCUGAGGCGCGAAAGCGUGGGGAGCAAACAGG
RNAcentral lists this ribosomal RNA (253 nucleotides) under uncultured bacterium. RNAcentral's name for it is "partial 16S ribosomal RNA". It matches the Rfam family "Bacterial small subunit ribosomal RNA", at positions 524 to 776 of the family's 1533-position model. The record is from RNAcentral.